RNAcentral lists this ribosomal RNA (301 nucleotides) under uncultured bacterium. RNAcentral's name for it is "partial 16S ribosomal RNA". It matches the Rfam family "Bacterial small subunit ribosomal RNA", at positions 509 to 809 of the family's 1533-position model. The record is from RNAcentral.
CAGUCGCCGCGGUAAUACAGAGGGUGCAAGCGUUAAUUGGAAUUACUGGGCGUAAAGCGCGCGUAGGUGGUUUGUUAAGUUGGAUGUGAAAUCCCCGGGCUCAACCUGGGAACUGCAUCCAAAACUGGCAAGCUAGAGUAUGGUAGAGGGUGGUGGAAUUUCCUGUGUAGCGGUGAAAUGCGUAGAUAUAGGAAGGAACACCAGUGGCGAAGGCGACCACCUGGACUGAUACUGACACUGAGGUGCGAAAGCGUGGGGAGCAAACAGGAUUAGAUACCCCCGUAGUCCCUGUCUCUUAUAU